This 418-nucleotide ribosomal RNA is filed under the name Papiliotrema laurentii. Its description in RNAcentral is "eukaryotic LSU rRNA". It matches the Rfam family "Eukaryotic large subunit ribosomal RNA", at positions 227 to 639 of the family's 3401-position model. Lineage: Eukaryota; Fungi; Basidiomycota; Tremellomycetes; Tremellales; Rhynchogastremaceae. The record is from RNAcentral.
ACACGAMGACCGGUGCUCUGUGAUACGUCUUAUACGAGUCGAGUUGUUUGGGAAUGCAGCUCAAAAUGGGUGGUGAGUUCCAUMUAAAGUUAAAUAUUGGMGAGAGACCGAUAGCGAACAAGUACCGUGAGGGAAAGAUGAAAAGCACUUUGGAAAGAGAGUUAAACAGUACGUGAAAUUGUUGAAAGGGAAACGAUUGAAGUCAGUCGUGACCGAGAGGCUCAGCCGGUUCUGCCGGUGUAUUCCCCUCGGUCGGGUCAACAUCAGUUUUGUCCGGUGGAUAAGGAYGGUAGGAAGGUGGCACCCUCGGGUGUGUUAUAGCCUGCCGUCGCAUACAUCGGGUGAGACUGAGGAACGCAGCUCGCCUUUAUGGCCGGGGUUCGCCCACGUCCGAGCUUAGGAUGUUGACAUAAUGGCU